RNAcentral lists this ribosomal RNA (153 nucleotides) under uncultured Peziza. RNAcentral describes it as "5.8S ribosomal RNA". It matches the Rfam family "5.8S ribosomal RNA". From Rfam's summary of the family: 5.8S ribosomal RNA (5.8S rRNA) is a component of the large subunit of the eukaryotic ribosome. It is transcribed by RNA polymerase I as part of the 45S precursor that also contains 18S and 28S rRNA. Functionally, it is thought that 5.8S rRNA may be involved in ribosome translocation. Lineage: Eukaryota; Fungi; Ascomycota; Pezizomycetes; Pezizales; Pezizaceae. The record is from RNAcentral.
AACUUUCAACAACGGAUCUCUAGGCUCUUGCAUCGAUGAAGAACGCAGUAAAAUGCGAUAAGUAAUGUGAAUUGCAGAUCUCGUGAAUCAUCGAAUCUUUGAACGCACAUUGCGCCCUAUAGAAUUCUGUAGGGCAUGCCUGUCUGAGCAUCA